RNAcentral lists this long non-coding RNA (1077 nucleotides) under Oryzias javanicus (javanese ricefish). RNAcentral describes it as "lncRNA (ENSOJAG00000016673.1)". Lineage: Eukaryota; Metazoa; Chordata; Actinopteri; Beloniformes; Adrianichthyidae. The record is from RNAcentral.
AUCAGAUGUCCAGUUAUGUAAUCCUGUACUAGAGAACAAUGAUCCACCGACCCGGUUCUGUGCAGACCCGCGGGUCCUGGAGACUGUGUGCAGAACAUGCGGGUACCUGCAGGAGUCUCCAGCGAGUGUUCAGAUCCUCGACUCGCUCCAGGUUGGAAGGCGACAGCUGGAUGUUGAUGGGAUCAAAGGCGGACGCCAGCUGGUUCAUACGCUGAAGCAGCUCAGGUGUGUGGUUACCUCUGGACUCUGUCCAGGAUGUGUCUGGAGGAAGCUCCGACAGGAAGGCGGACACGUCAUCCAGAGCUUUGAUCACAUCGGGCUCCUUCACCCUCAGCUCCCUCCUGAAGCCCUGAAAGAACAGCUGAUGUUCAGGGCUGUGGUGCAGAGUGCUGGUGGGGGUUCAAGGCUGGGUAGGACACUUCCUGUUUGUCCUUCUCUAAACAUCCAACAGUAGAACUUUUCCUCACAGACUCUGAGGUCAGUACUUAACCACAUGCCCAGACUGCAGAACCUCUUACUCUGUGUGUUUCCAGCUGUGCCUGAACGGCGGGGACAUCGCCCCCUACUGGAGCCUCCUGCUCUAGCUGCUGGGCCUUCAGUCGGAUCCAGUUCAGCAGCUCCUGCAGGUUCAUGUGGACCCUCCUCCACGGAGCCAUCUCUGAGUCCAGCUGGGACCUAAAACACCAACAGUGGUAGUCCCGGUUCUGCUGCUCACGUUCCCCUCCAGGCGCCGGUCGGACCGAGCUCACCUCAUGCUCAGAGUCUUAUUGUUCAGGUCGUUCCAGCGCUGCCUCAUGUUGUCCAGACGUCUCUGCAGCAGAACUUUGUCCUCCGACUCGCCCAGCGACGACACAAUCCGCCGGCCGUUCUCGUCCAGAGAGUGGUACAUCUCCGUGUGGCCGUCGAUCUCCGCCUGCAGCUCCUGAGGGCGGACCCAGACCCGGACAGGUGAGUCAAACAGAAGAACAAGAGAAUUAGAGCUUUGUAGAGGUCUGAGAGGGAAAGAAACAGAGACGACUGUAAGAAGAACCAAAAAGAAGACAAAGAUCAGAGAAUCCUCUCUGCAGUCUGGAUCCA